RNAcentral lists this ribosomal RNA (253 nucleotides) under uncultured bacterium. Its description in RNAcentral is "partial 16S ribosomal RNA". It matches the Rfam family "Bacterial small subunit ribosomal RNA", at positions 524 to 776 of the family's 1533-position model. The record is from RNAcentral.
UACGGGGGGGGCAAGCGUUGUUCGGAAUUACUUGGCGUAAAGGGCUCGUAGGCGGCCAACUAAGUCAGACGUGAAAUCCCUCGGCUUAACCGGGGAACUGCGUCUGAUACUGGAUGGCUUGAGUGUGGGAGAGGGAUGCGGAAUUCCAGGUGUAGCGGUGAAAUGCGUAGAUAUCUGGAGGAACACCGGUGGCGAAGGCGGCAUCCUGGACCACAACUGACACUGAGGCGCGAAAGCUAGGGGAGCAAACAGG